RNAcentral lists this ribosomal RNA (507 nucleotides) under uncultured bacterium. RNAcentral's name for it is "partial 16S ribosomal RNA". It matches the Rfam family "Bacterial small subunit ribosomal RNA", at positions 28 to 507 of the family's 1533-position model. The record is from RNAcentral.
GACGAACGCUGGCGGCGUGCCUAAUACAUGCAAGUCGAACGCAUUUUCUUUCACCGUAGCUUGCUACACCGACAGAAAAUGAGUGGCGAACGGGUGAGUAACACGUGGGUAACCUGCCCAUCAGCGGGGGAUAACACUUGGAAACAGGUGCUAAUACCGCAUAAUUCCAUUUACUGCAUGGUAGAUGGAUGAAAGGCGCUUUUGCGUCACUGAUGGAUGGACCCGCGGUGCAUUAGCUAGUUGGUGGGGUAACGGCCUACCAAGGCUGCGAUGCAUAGCCGACCUGAGAGGGUGAUCGGCCACACUGGGACUGAGACACGGCCCAGACUCCUACGGGAGGCAGCAGUAGGGAAUCUUCGGCAAUGGACGCAAGUCUGACCGAGCAACGCCGCGUGAGUGAAGAAGGGUGUCGGAUCGUAAAACUCUGUUGUUAGAAAAGAACAAGGAUGAGAGUGGAAAGUUCAUCCCUUGACGGUAUCUAACCAGAAAGCCACGGCUAACUACGUG